AAAUGAAUAGACGGGGGCCCGCACAAGCGGUGGAGCAUGUGGUUCAAUUCGACGCAACGCGAAGAACCUUACCUGGGCUUGAACAGCCGUCGCCGGUGGCGGAGACGCCAUUUUCCGCAAGGACGGCGGCAGAGGUGCUGCAUGGCUGUCGUCAGCUCGUGUCGUGAGAUGUUGGGUUAAGUCCCGCAACGAGCGCAACCCUUGCCUCCAGUUGCCAGCGAGUAAUGUCGGGGACUCUGGAGGGACUGCCCGGGUCAACCGGGAGGAAGGUGGGGAUGAUGUCAAGUCCUCAUGGCCCUUAUGUCCAGGGCUACACACGUGCUACAAUGGGCGGUACAGACCGCAGCGACGCCGCGAGGCUGAGCGAAUCGGAGAAAGCCGCCCUCAGUUCGGAUUGCAGCCUGCAACUCGGCUGCAUGAAGCUGGAAUCGCUAGUAAUCGUGCAUCAGAACGGCACGGUGAAUACGUUCCCGGGCCUUGUACACACCGCCCGU
RNAcentral lists this ribosomal RNA (494 nucleotides) under uncultured bacterium. RNAcentral describes it as "bacterial SSU rRNA". It matches the Rfam family "Bacterial small subunit ribosomal RNA", at positions 903 to 1397 of the family's 1533-position model. The record is from RNAcentral.